AGCUUUGCGCAGUGGCAGUAUCGUAGCCAAUGAGGUUUAUCCGAGGCGCGAUUAUUGCUAAUUGAAAACUUUUUCCAUUUGAUUUUUUAAAUGGGUUUUUCAGGCACCUAGGUG
RNAcentral lists this small nuclear RNA (114 nucleotides) under Neogale vison (American mink). RNAcentral's name for it is "Neovison vison (American mink) U4 spliceosomal RNA (ENSNVIG00000023266.1)". It matches the Rfam family "U4 spliceosomal RNA". Rfam says of the family: U4 small nuclear RNA (U4 snRNA) is a component of the major U2-dependent spliceosome. The record is from Rfam by way of RNAcentral. Lineage: Eukaryota; Metazoa; Chordata; Mammalia; Carnivora; Mustelidae.